CAUAAGAUAGCUUAAAGUAAGUAAUGGUCUCUUAAACCAAAUUAUAAUAUAUUAACACAUAUUUCUUAUGA
This 71-nucleotide transfer RNA is filed under the name Passalidae sp. GENSP01. Its description in RNAcentral is "tRNA-Lys". Lineage: Eukaryota; Metazoa; Arthropoda; Insecta; Coleoptera; Passalidae. The record is from RNAcentral.